This is a long non-coding RNA of Rosa rugosa (rugosa rose), 492 nucleotides long. RefSeq lists it as uncharacterized. The record is from RefSeq and is a predicted model, not a curated record. Lineage: Eukaryota; Viridiplantae; Streptophyta; Magnoliopsida; Rosales; Rosaceae. The transcript has 4 exons.
UCUACACCAUAUGCGUUUCAUCCCUUAACAGUAAACCGAUCCUUCUCAAUAUUUGCCCCCAAAACGCUUUUGGAUCUCUCUCAGAGCGAAGAGUACUGCUUUGGUUUGUUUGUUGAUCCACAGUUAUUAGCGCAGAGAGGAGCUGUUGCUUGCGAUUUGCGAAUUUGGAUUUGGAUCAAGAUUCUAUGCGAAAGAGUUUACGCGUCAUUCUGCUGCCACUGUUCCUUUGUCUAUUGGUUAAUACUAUCUUGAUUUGUUACUCUUAUUCAGAUUCUGGGAACAGUGUGCUGGCAAAUUGUUUAACCGUUUUAAAUUCAGAGUAUGGUUAGGGGUAUAAUUUGAAGACCGGCAACUUGGUAGAGACAUCAUGCGAAAUCGACCAGGUUAUUUUUGGCAACCAGAUUAGGCAUUUGUUGUAACUAAGUUAGCCUAUAAGUAGAACAUGUUAUUUUUGGCAAGCUGUUUCGACAGCAACUGUAAAUCUGUAUUUCA